AUAUAACAACCCCCUGGAGCCUGAGUCACCAUGGUAACGAGUGUGUGAGCUUUCUUCAGGAACACUUCAGGCCAGUUGAGAUCAUCAACUCAUCAACCGGCCCACGGCAGAUGUCUGAUAGCGACCUUUUGACAUCAGGAAGCUAAAAACUCCACCCUCAGGUCAUGCUAACUCUUGCCAUUUUGUGAACCUGUGUCCUAUGAAGAGGCAUGAAGUCUGACUAUGCUUGCACAGAUUAUCAAUUACCUCACCUCUCCUCAUCUCCAAUGACCUACCUCCACAUUUCAGACCACCUUGCCCCUCAUCCCAUAAAUAUCCUUGAGUCCCUAUUUUUGGGGAAGCAAAUUUGAGGCUCAUGCUCUCGCUUCCUCAUGUGGCUGCUUUGCGACUUGGCCCUGCUUUCCCCAGCUUUGGUGAUGAGGACGUCUCUAGCCCCCCAGGUGUGGGAGACAGUUGCUGUUCAAGAAGCAAACCCCAAACUCGCAGUGUUUCUGAACCAAAUGGAACUCGCCCUAAGUCUACACAGCGGGAACUUCUGCACGACUGAGAGUUUUCUAAUUAACUUCCUGAUAGAAUACAAUUACUAACGGAUAACUAAGAAAAUGUGUCAAAUUGAAGCUUACAUAUGUACUAUUAAAAAGCAAUUGUACCUGCAGAAAUUGUUUAGAACUACGAAAAACACAGGAUUUUUUGUGGAGUAUUUUGUCACAGACAUUAUUCAGAAUUGCAGACACAUGGUGAUCUAAAAAAAUGAACUGACUUCUAGUCAGUUGUAUUCCUGUGUUUAACUUCUCUACAAACCAUGUGUCCUUUACUGCCUGCACGAGGGGCGGGCUGGGCCCGCGACUCCGUCCUUCGUUUGCCGUGGUUUAAAGGACGGUCUUAACGCUGCAAGCUUCUACGUCUGUCCGUUUAAACUAACAGUCUUGAAGUUGAGUGUUUUUAUUUUAGAUCUAAGACCUCUCGAGAGCGAAAGGGCGAACAAACGGAAAGUCUGCUAAAUCCUUUUUCUCAGACAUAAAUGCUUAGGAUUUUUAGAGCAUCUUUUACAAAAUGAGAAUUUGAAGGAAAAAAUGAUGAACGGGGUUUUCCAAGUUCCAGAAGAGUGUUUGGCGCCCUCUUGUGGACAGUUUGAAAAUAGACCUAUCAGAUGCUGUAUAAAUAAAUAAUUGC
This 1173-nucleotide long non-coding RNA is filed under the name Equus caballus (horse). RNAcentral describes it as "lncRNA (ENSECAG00000059733.1)". The record is from RNAcentral. Lineage: Eukaryota; Metazoa; Chordata; Mammalia; Perissodactyla; Equidae.